CGUGUAGGCGGCCAAGCAGGUCCGUUGUGAAAACUGGAGGCUUAACCUCCAGACGUCGACGGAAACCGCGUGGCUAGAGUCCGGAAGAGGAGAGUGGAAUUCCUGGUGUAGCGGUGAAAUGCGCAGAUAUCAGGAAGAACACCAAUGGCGAAGGCAGCUCUCUGGGACGGUACUGACGCUGAGACGCGAAAGCGUGGGAACGAACA
This 206-nucleotide ribosomal RNA is filed under the name uncultured bacterium. Its description in RNAcentral is "partial 16S ribosomal RNA". It matches the Rfam family "Bacterial small subunit ribosomal RNA", at positions 568 to 774 of the family's 1533-position model. The record is from RNAcentral.